Molecule: ribosomal RNA, 393 nt
Filed under: uncultured bacterium
Lineage: Bacteria
Description: partial 16S ribosomal RNA
Rfam family: Bacterial small subunit ribosomal RNA
Source: RNAcentral
AUACGGAGGAUCCGAGCGUUAUCCGGAUUUAUUGGGUUUAAAGGGAGCGUAGGUGGGAUAUUAAGUCAGCUGUGAAAGUUUGGGGCUCAACCUUAAAAUUGCAGUUGAUACUGGUUUCCUUGAGUACGGUACAGGUGGGCGGAAUUCGUGGUGUAGCGGUGAAAUGCUUAGAUAUCACGAAGAACUCCGAUCGCGAAGGCAGCUCACCGGGCCGGAACUGACACUGAUGCUCGAAAGUGCGGGUAUCAAACAGGAUUAGAUACCCUGGUAGUCCGCACAGUAAACGAUGAAUACUCGCUGUUUGCGAUACACAGUAAGCGGCCAAGCGAAAGCGUUAAGUAUUCCACCUGGGGAGUACGCCGGCAACGGUGAAACUCAAAGGAAUUGACGGGG